ACGCUCGACACCUACGGAGGCAGCAGUGGGGAAUAUUGCACAAUGGGGGAAACCCUGAUGCAGCGACGCCGCGUGGAGGAAGAAGGUCUUCGGAUUGUAAACUCCUGUUGUUGGGGAAAAAGNGGAUGGUACCCAACAAGGAAGUGACGGCUAACUACGUGCCAGCACGCCGUAGGUAAUCUGAGGCGGCGUGGACGAAGGC
This 202-nucleotide ribosomal RNA is filed under the name uncultured bacterium. RNAcentral describes it as "partial 16S ribosomal RNA". The stretch from base 1 to 180 matches the Rfam family "Bacterial small subunit ribosomal RNA", at positions 328 to 535 of the family's 1533-position model. The record is from RNAcentral.